Molecule: long non-coding RNA, 3177 nt
Organism: Lycium ferocissimum
Lineage: Eukaryota; Viridiplantae; Streptophyta; Magnoliopsida; Solanales; Solanaceae
Exons: 3
Source: RefSeq, a predicted model, not a curated record
CUCUUUGCUCUUGCAGUUUUCAUUCUACUUCAUCACCAUAUUUCAAUGGCUAUUUCUUCCAAUAUUAGCAUUGAUGAAGCUGCUCUUCUUGCCUUUAAAUCUUACAUUUCUUCUGAUCGUAACAAUAUCUUGGAAACCAACUGGUCUUCUUUCGGCCUUGUUUGCAGCUGGAUUGGCAUCACUUGUAGCUCUCGCCACAAUCGAGUCACAGCUAUAGUCAUUUCUAGCAUGCAAAUUCACGGUACCAUCCCUCCACAUCUGGAAACCUCUCAUUUCUUGUUUCCCUUGACAUUAGUAACAACACUUUCCACGGAGAGUUGCCGGAAGAGUUGGCUCAUUUGCAGAGAUUGAAAAUGAUUAAUGUCACUUGGAACAACUUUACUGGUGCAGUUCCAUCAUUUUUAAGUUUGUUACCUAAUCUUCGCAUUUUGCGCCUUUCCUUGAAAGAGUUCUCCCGAAAAAUCCGAUCUUCCUUUUCCAACCUGACAAAGCUGGAAGUGUUGAGAAUAAGGGGAAAUUUUCUAGAGGGAGAGAUCCCCCAAUAACUCGGUGAUCUUCCUCUGACUUUGUUAGACCUGCAAAAUAACCAGCUUACUGGUUCCAUACCACCAUCAAUCUUUAACAUUAGCACAAUGCAACAAAUGGCUCUUACCUACAAUAAUCUUACUGGAGAGAUACCAGCGGAACUAGGAAAUCUUAAAACACUAGAGGUGCUGACAUUAUCUGACAAUGAGUUAACUGGUUCCAUUCCAGCAAGCAUUUUCAACAUGUCAGCAUUGUAGGUCCUAGGACUUGAAGGAAACAGGCUUCAGGUACUCUACCUUCAGAUUUAGGUCGUCGAGUGCCUAGCCGCCUAGAAAAACUUUAUUGUUCAAAUAACCAGAGUGGUUUUAUCUCUGAUACUAUCUCAAAUUCUUCAAGACUCAGAAUCCUUAGUCUCUCAAAGAACAACUUCACCGGACCAAUUCCUUAAUUACUUGGUAACUUAGAAUACCUUGAGCUUUUGAACUUGCAGGGGAACAAUUUUUUUUGGCUAUUCAGUAUUGAGGUUCCUUACAUCUUUGACAAAAUGUAGGAAACUAUAAGAACUCGCUUUUUCGAGGAAUCGGUUAGAUGGUGUUCUUCCUGCAUCAAUUGGAAAUUUCUCUGACUCUCUGAAAAUAUUUAGUGGAGAGAGUUUUAAACUGAAGGGGAUUCUUCCUGAAGAAAUUGGUAAUCUGACUGGAGUGACAAAGAUGAGUCUAUUAAAACGUGAGUUGACUGGAUAUAUUCCAAAUACUGUCCAAGGCAUGCUGAACCUUCAAGAAAUUUACCUAGAUAGCAACAAGUUAAAAGGAACCAUUGCAGAGGUUAUCUGCAAUUUAAAGAAUCUCGGAGCAUUAGACUUGUCAGAGAAUCAGUUUUCUGGCUCAGUGCCACUAUGCUUAGGGAAUGUAACCAGUUUAAGGAUACUUAAUCUAGCUUACAACAGGCUGAAUUGGAGCUUGCCUGCAAGCUUAGGGAGCCUUCAAGAUCUCAUACAAUUCAAUGUUUCAUCCAAUUUUCUAAGUGGGGCAAAUUUCUCCGGAGAUUGGAAAUUUUACGGCUGCUAUACUCGUUGAUCUAUCAAGAAAUAAUUUUACUGGUAAGAUCCCUAGCACUUCAGGGGGUCAAGAUAAAUUGAUUGAUCUUUCUCUAGCACAUAAUAGAUUAGAUGGGCCUAUUCCAGAUUCAUUGGACAAAAUGAUAGCUUGGGAAUUAUUGGAUGUGGGCUAUAACAAUCUUAGUGGUGAAAUACCAAAAUCAUUAGAUGCUCAUGUAUCUCAAAUACUUGAACAUCUCAUUUAAUAAACUCAGUGGAGAAAUUCCCACCGGUGGUCCUUUUGCAAACUUCACCACCCAAUCCUUCCUGUCCAAUGGUGCACUCUGUGGUGACUCCAGGUUUAAUGUGAAGCCAUGCCUAACCAAAUCUACAGAGAAGUCAAGAAGAAGAAGAAAGCUUGUAGCUUUAUGUACUCUUUUGGGGAUUGGAUUACUACUUGCAUUGGCUGUUGGAUAUGUUGUGUUAAGAAUGCGAAAGAUACAGAAGAAAGCAGGUCAAGCAGUUUUGUCUCCAGUAAAAGGGCAUGAAAGAAUUUCCUCCUAUGAACUUGAACAAGCAACCAAAGGAUUCAAUGAAAGUAACUUGCUUGGUAUGGUGGGUUUCGGCAUGGUCUAUAAAGGGAUACUUAAGGAUGGUACUUUUUUGGCAGCAAAGGUAUUCAAUGUGCAAUUGGAGGGUGCAUUCAAAAGUUUUGAUACAAAAUGUGAGAUGUUGCGCAACCUCUGCCAUCAAAAUCUUAGGGAAGUCAUCACCAGCUGCUCCAACCCUGACUUUAAAGCCUUGGUAUUAGAAUAUAUGCCGAAUGGGACUCUCGAAAAAUGGCUAUAAGUCAUAACUUUUUCUUAGAUAUGUUGCAAAGAUUAAAAUAAUGAUAGAUGUUGCAUCUGCAAUGUAUAAUCCCCACAAUGGUUAUUCAACACCUGUGGUGCAUUGUGAUUUGAAGCCAAGCAAUGUCUUGCUAGAUCAAGAAAUGGUUGGCCAUGUCAGUGAUUUUGGCAUUGCAAAAUUGCUAGGUGCAGGGGAUACUUUCGUUCAAACAAGGACAAUUGCAACCAUUGGAUAUAUUGCUUUAGUGUAUGGACAAGAUGGAAUAGUAUCCACAAGCUGCAAUGUUUAUAGCUUUGGCAUCUUGAUGAUGGAGACGUUUACAAGAAGGAGACCAAGUGAUGAAAUAUUUGCCGAAGAUUUGAGCAUACGACGUUGGGUUAGUGAUUCUUUUCCAAGUGGAUUCAUAAGUUGGUGGAUGCUAAUUUGGCACAGCCAGGCGAUGAACAAACCGACCCAAAGAUGCAAUGUUUGUCAUCUGUCAUGGAAUUAGCUUUUGAGUUGCACUGCAGUGACACCUGAUGCAAGAAUUAGCAUGGAAGAUGCUCUUUCUGCACUUGGAAAGAUUAGGCUUCUGUUUGUCAAUAACUGUACAAGUACAUGCUGACGGUAAUAACUCAUUUAUUGACUUCAAUUGUUUUGACGAUACUUAAGAUGGGCGAGAGAAGAGAGGAAAGUAAUGUGAAUAAUAACAGUAUGUUGUCAAUAACAAUCAAGAUUAUGCCAUGAUGACUGUAAGUAAUAAUCACACUACAUCCGCGACGAAACUA